GUGAAUCAUCGAAUCUUUGAACGCACAUUGCGCCUCAUGGUAUUCCGUGAGGCAUGCCUGUCUGAGCGUCAACAACACCACUCAAGCAUUGCUUUCUUGCUCUGCCUGGUCCAUGUCAAGGAAGCGGUUGGGCCUGUCCAACUGCCCCUUGAAAAGCAAUAGAUGGUCAGGUUGUCACCUUAAGCCAAACGUCAUAUGAUUCUUAUCGUUCGUUUGUCUAUCUGACUUCUUGACAGUUGUUGAACCCAACAGCAUCAUGCUGUUUAUUCUGACUUGACCUCAGAUCAGGUAGGGAUACCC
RNAcentral lists this unclassified non-coding RNA (300 nucleotides) under uncultured fungus. RNAcentral describes it as "sequence contains 5.8S rRNA gene, ITS2". The stretch from base 1 to 71 matches the Rfam family "5.8S ribosomal RNA", at positions 84 to 154 of the family's 154-position model. The record is from RNAcentral. Lineage: Eukaryota; Fungi.